Molecule: ribosomal RNA, 468 nt
Filed under: uncultured bacterium
Lineage: Bacteria
Description: partial 16S ribosomal RNA
Rfam family: Bacterial small subunit ribosomal RNA
Source: RNAcentral
GACGAACGCUGGCGGCGUGCUUAACACAUGCAAGUCGAACGGAAAGGCCCUGCGCUUGUGGGGUUCUCGAGUGGCGAACGGGGGAGUAACACGUGAGGAGCCUGUCCCUGACUUUGGGAUAACUUCAGGAAACUGGGGCUAAUACCGGAGAGGAGCUCCUGCUGCAUGGGGGGGGUUGGAAAGAUUCGGCGGUUGGGGAUGGACUCGCGGCUUAUCAGCUUGUUGGUGGGGUAGUGGCUGACCAAGGGUUUGACGGGUAGCCGGCCUGAGAGGGUGACCGGCGACAUUGGGCCUGCGAUACGCCCCAGUCUCCUACGGGCGGCAGUGGUCGGGAAUAUUGCACAAUGGGCGGAAGUCUGAUGCAGAGACGCUGCGUGCGUAAUGCCGGCCUUCUGGUUGUAAACCGAUUUCGACUGUGACGAAGCGUGCGUGACGGUAAUGAGUAAAAAAGCACCGGCUAACUACGUG